RNAcentral lists this long non-coding RNA (916 nucleotides) under Volvox carteri. Its description in RNAcentral is "long non-coding RNA (VCAR_LNC002374)". The record is from RNAcentral. Lineage: Eukaryota; Viridiplantae; Chlorophyta; Chlorophyceae; Chlamydomonadales; Volvocaceae.
UUAUGUCGGUUGAUGCCUAUGCUCGCAGCACGGCCACCUUCGGAAAUUGUUUCUGCUCGGUAACUGGUGGGUGGGGCGCCGGGAAGACGCAGGGAACACACAGGCCAACGCACCAGGUGAAUACAGCGAUUAUCAGUCAAGAUGAACGAAUGGCUCAACAACAAAAUGGAGGCUCAUAGGGAUACACAAUGGCCGGACGGAAACAGCGACAGCCAUUUGUAAGACCACCGAUACUCAAGAGGCCAUGUUACCGUCAGCCAGCCUGCCAGGCGGACCGGGUGCAGUACAAGCCAGGUCAUGCCAGGUCAGCCAGAGGUUUGAACUGGUUACUAUAUGGGCAUGGUUUCGGCUCGCACUUCAAUUUUCCUGGGAUCUGGCUUUCCUGGCUAUGGAAAGUUUUGCGGGCUGUCGUGGCCCCUACAUGGUAUGAAAGUGUAGUGCCACUUAACCUAGUGUAUCCAAAAAAGUGCGUUACCGAGUGCUCGGCGAUGGUAUCGCCGCCCUUACCGGCGACCUGCCCAGUUCCGCAGAGGUAGUGGUGUGUCUGCGAACACUACAGCCAGUGGAUUGCGGUGCAAGGUUGCCGUUGCCUGCCUCCAGCAACACAUGACUGAACAAAUCACCCCCAGCAGCCCUGAGGAAGGACCGGAGCAAACCAGACGGAUCACACGAUGCACGCGACCCGUGGAUCGUUCAAGGCCCGCCCUUGCCUCUACUCGUUUCUAAAACCCUUACAAAAACCCGCUGCUUGGAUGCCGAUUGACACAGUAAUGCAGAAAAGGAAGAUUUUGGAGCCGGAACCCCGUCAGAAGGCAACCGACAUAAGCAGCUACGCGGUCCGCUGAGCAGUAAGGAACCAUCGCACGAUAGCCAGGGCACACACCGUGCCCAUGCCUUGCAUCUAUAUACAUUACGG